This 490-nucleotide ribosomal RNA is filed under the name uncultured bacterium. Its description in RNAcentral is "partial 16S ribosomal RNA". It matches the Rfam family "Bacterial small subunit ribosomal RNA", at positions 30 to 507 of the family's 1533-position model. The record is from RNAcentral.
AUUGAACGCUGGCGGCAGGCCUAACACAUGCAAGUCGAACGGUAACAGGAAGAAGCUUGCUUCUUUGCUGACGAGUGGCGGACGGGUGAGUAAUGUCUGGGAAACUGCCUGAUGGAGGGGGAUAACUACUGGAAACGGUAGCUAAUACCGCAUAACGUCGCAAGACCAAAGAGGGGGACCUUCGGGCCUCUUGCCAUCGGAUGUGCCCAGAUGGGAUUAGCUAGUAGGUGGGGUAACGGCUCACCUAGGCGACGAUCCCUAGCUGGUCUGAGAGGAUGACCAGCCACACUGGAACUGAGACACGGUCCAGACUCCUACGGGAGGCAGCAGUGGGGAAUAUUGCGCAAUGGGCGAAAGCCUGAUGCAGCCAUGCCGCGUGUGUGAAGAAGGCCUUCGGGUUGUAAAGUACUUUCAGCGGGGAGGAAGAAAGGAGAAUUAAUAUCUGCACUCAUUGACGUUACCCGCAGAAGAAGCACCGGCUAACUACGUG